GACGAACCUUGCUAACGUUAUUCGGAAUUACUGGGCUUAAAGGGUGCGUAGGCGGUGCAGUAAGUCGGGUGUGAAAUCCCUCGGCUCAACUGAGGAAUUGCGCCCGAAACUACUGUGCUUGAGGAAGAUAGAGGUACGCGGAACUUAGGGUGGAGCGGUGAAAUGCGUAGAUAUCGAGAGGAACACCUGCGGCGAAGGCGGGUUGCUGGGCUGACACUGACGCUGAGGCGCGAAAGCCAGGGGAGCGAACGGG
Molecule: ribosomal RNA, 253 nt
Filed under: uncultured bacterium
Lineage: Bacteria
Description: partial 16S ribosomal RNA
Rfam family: Bacterial small subunit ribosomal RNA
Source: RNAcentral